RNAcentral lists this ribosomal RNA (3204 nucleotides) under Actinokineospora xionganensis. Its description in RNAcentral is "23S ribosomal RNA". It matches the Rfam family "Bacterial large subunit ribosomal RNA". The record is from RNAcentral. Lineage: Bacteria; Bacillati; Actinomycetota; Actinomycetes; Pseudonocardiales; Pseudonocardiaceae.
ACAGUGGAUGCGAGCAUCUUUGUAGCAAGAUAUUAAGGGCAUACGGUGGAUGUCUAGGCAUCAGGAGCCGAUGAAGGACGUAGGAGGCUGCGAUAAGCCUCGGGGAGCUGUCAACCGAGCUGAGAUCCGAGGAUGUCCGAAUGGGGAAACCCGGCAUCAGUCAUGUGGUGUCACCCGCACCUGAAUCUAUAGGGUGUGUGGAGGGAACGCGGGGAAGUGAAACAUCUCAGUACCCGUAGGAAGAGAAAACAACCGUGAUUCCGUGAGUAGUGGCGAGCGAAAGCGGAUGAGGCUAAACCGGAUACGUGUGAUACCCGGCAGGGGUUGCGUGUUCGGGGUCGUGGGACCUUUCGAGUAGUUCUGCCGGACUACUAAGGAGUGAGAAAACACUGUGGUUAGUGGAACGUUGCUGGAAAGCGCGACCGUAGAGGGUGAGAGUCCCGUACGUGAAAACCCGGUGUCUCCUGAGAGUGUUCCCAAGUAGCAGCGAGCUCGUGAAAUUUGCUGUGAAUCUGGCGGGACCACCCGCUAAGCCUAAAUACUUCCUGAUGACCGAUAGCGGACUAGUACCGUGAGGGAAAGAUGAAAAGUACCCCGGGAGGGGAGUGAAAGAGUACCUGAAACCGUGUGCCUACAAGCCGUCAGAGCCUUUCGGGGUGAUGGCGUGCCUUUUGAAGAAUGAGCCUGCGAGUUAGUGCUGCGUGGCGAGGUUAACCCGUGUGGGGUAGCCGUAGCGAAAGCGAGUCUGAAUAGGGCGCUUGAGUCGCGUGGUCUAGACCCGAAGCGGAGUGAUCUACCCAUGGCCAGGGUGAAGCGACGGUAAGACGUCGUGGAGGCCCGAACCCACUUAGGUUGAAAACUGAGGGGAUGAGCUGUGGGUAGGGGUGAAAGGCCAAUCAAACUCCGUGAUAGCUGGUUCUCCCCGAAAUGCAUUUAGGUGCAGCGUCGCAUGUUUCACACCGGGGGUAGAGCACUGGAUGGUCUAGGGGGCCUACAAGCUUACCGAAAUCAACCAAACUCCGAAUACCGGUGUGUGAGAGUGCGGCAGUGAGACUGCGGGCGAUAAGGUUCGUAGUCGAGAGGGAAACAGCCCAGAACACCAGCUAAGGCCCCUAAGUGUGUGCUAAGUGGGAAAGGAUGUGGGGUCGCCCAGACAACCAGGAGGUUGGCUUAGAAGCAGCCACCCUUGAAAGAGUGCGUAAUAGCUCACUGGUCAAGUGGUCCUGCGCCGACAAUGUAGCGGGGCUUAAGCACACCGCCGAAGCUGUGUCAUUCACACAAUACAUCCACUUGUUCCUUCGGGGGCAGGUGCAGUGGUGUGGAUGGGUAGGGGAGCGUCGUGCAGCCAUGGAAGCGCCGGAGUGAUCCAGGUGUGGAGGCUGUGCGAGUGAGAAUGCAGGCAUGAGUAGCGAAAGAAGAGUGAGAAACUCUUCCGCCGGAUGACCAAGGGUUCCUGGGCCAGGCUAAUCCGCCCAGGGUAAGUCGGGACCUAAGGCGAGGCCGACAGGCGUAGUCGAUGGACAACGGGUUGAUAUUCCCGUACCCGUGUGGACGCGUCCCUGGUGAGCUCGGUGAUACUAACCGCCCAAAGCGAUGUUGGUCUUCGGACCGGCAAAGUGGAGCGCGGGACCUGAUCCGGUAGUAGCCAAACGAUGGGGUGACGCAGGAGGGUAGCUCCGCCAGCAGUUGGUGUCUGGUGUAAGCGUGUAGGCCGGUUGAUAGNGAUGGGGUGACGCAGGAGGGUAGCUCCGCCAGCAGUUGGUGUCUGGUGUAAGCGUGUAGGCCGGUUGAUAGGCAAAUCCGUCAACCAUCAAGGCUGAGACGUGAUGCAUAGCCGAAUGAGGCGAAGUAGAGUGAUCCCAUGCUGCCGAGAAAAGCCUCUAGUGAGUUUCCACGCGGCCCGUACCCCAAACCGACACAGGUGGUCAGGUAGAGAAUACCAAGGCGAUCGGGUGAACUAUGGUUAAGGAACUCGGCAAAAUGCCCCCGUAACUUCGGGAGAAGGGGGGCCACAGCGCUUGAAGCCUCUUGCAGGCUAGGGCGAGGUGGCCGCAGAGACCAGCGAGAAGCGACUGUUUACUAAAAACACAGGUCCGUGCGAAGUCGCAAGACGAUGUAUACGGACUGACGCCUGCCCGGUGCUGGAACGUUAAGAGGACCGGUUAGCUCUUCGGGGCGAAGCUGAGAAUUUAAGCGCCAGUAAACGGCGGUGGUAACUAUAACCAUCCUAAGGUAGCGAAAUUCCUUGUCGGGUAAGUUCCGACCUGCACGAAUGGCGUAACGACUUCUCGACUGUCUCAACCAUAGGCCCGGCGAAAUUGCACUACGAGUAAAGAUGCUCGUUACGCGCGGCAGGACGGAAAGACCCCGGGACCUUUACUAUAGCUUGGUAUUGGUGCUUGGUUCGGUUUGUGUAGGAUAGGUGGGAGACUGUGAAGCUCACACGCCAGUGUGGGUGGAGUCAAUCUUGAAAUACCACUCUGAUCGUACUGAGUGUCUAACUUCGGACCGUGAUCCGGUUCAGGGACAGUGCCUGGUGGGUAGUUUAACUGGGGCGGUUGCCUCCCAAAGGGUAACGGAGGCGCCCAAAGGUUCCCUCAGCCUGGUUGGCAAUCAGGUGUCGAGUGCAAGUGCACAAGGGAGCUUGACUGUGAGACUGACAGGUCGAGCAGGGACGAAAGUCGGGACUAGUGAUCCGGCGCUGGCUGGUGGAAGCGGCGUCGCUCAACGGAUAAAAGGUACCCCGGGGAUAACAGGCUGAUCUUGCCCAAGAGUCCAUAUCGACGGCAUGGUUUGGCACCUCGAUGUCGGCUCGUCGCAUCCUGGGGCUGGAGUAGGUCCCAAGGGUUGGGCUGUUCGCCCAUUAAAGCGGUACGCGAGCUGGGUUUAGAACGUCGUGAGACAGUUCGGUCCCUAUCCGCCGCGCGCGCAGGAGACUUGAGGAAGGCUGUCCCUAGUACGAGAGGACCGGGACGGACGAACCUCUGGUGUGCCAGUUGUCCCGCCAGGGGCAUGGCUGGUUGGCUACGUUCGGAAGGGAUAACCGCUGAAGGCAUCUAAGCGGGAAGCUCGUUCCAAGAUGAGGUCUCCCACCCCCUUUGAGGGGUUAAGGCCCCCAGCAGACCACUGGGUUGAUAGGCCGGAAAUGGAAGCCCAGUAAUGGGUGGAGUUGACCGGUACUAAUAGGCCGAGGGCUUGCUACAA